CGGGGUGAGUAACGCGUGGGUAACCUGCCUUAUACAGGGGGAUAACAGUCAGAAAUGGCUGCUAAUACCGCAUAAGCGCACAGAGCUGCAUGGCUCAGUGUGAAAAACUCCGGUGGUAUAAGAUGGACCCGCGUUGGAUUAGCUGGUUGGUGGGGUAACGGCCCACCAAGGCGACGAUCCAUAGCCGGCCUGAGAGGGUGAACGGCCACAUUGGGACUGAGACACGGCCCAGACUCCUACGGGAGGCAGCAUG
Molecule: ribosomal RNA, 253 nt
Filed under: uncultured bacterium
Lineage: Bacteria
Description: partial 16S ribosomal RNA
Rfam family: Bacterial small subunit ribosomal RNA
Source: RNAcentral